Long non-coding RNA from Canis lupus familiaris (dog), 900 nucleotides. RefSeq lists it as uncharacterized. Lineage: Eukaryota; Metazoa; Chordata; Mammalia; Carnivora; Canidae. The transcript is spliced from 3 exons. The record is from RefSeq and is a predicted model, not a curated record.
AUGUAAGGACUGGACCUCUUGUGUUCUGGUUACUGUCAGAUCCCGAGUAAGCACUCAGAAAAUAUAUGUGGGAUAAAUAUGUAAGUGAAGGCCCAUAUGAUGUCAAGAGCUUCCUCCACUUCUGGCCAAACUAAUCCAGUUUGUCCACAGGACCACAUGUUUAGCUCCUUCAACUCGACAGCCAUGCAGAUGGCUGACACUGAUGGGUCUGAUCCAGUGUUCUGAUUCUGAUGAUUAAGUCAAUGUUGCUUCAUCUCCGUCUGUGGACUAUGUACCUCUCUGUUGCUAAACUACCGUAAAAAGUUUUUCUGGAGUGUAUGGAAUGAGGGCACAAAGAGGAUUGGUGCUUGCACUGUGCUGGAGGAUUGAUUCAGGGAGUGGCUGCCUUCAGCAGCGCCUUACACUUCAGCCUCAAGGUGACAUGCAGCAGGCAGUGCAUGCCCUCUGCGGCCUCCUCAGCUACCUCUGUCACUGAGUCCCCACACAGCAGUGCCAUCAGAGCCACGAAGUGCCCAAGCCUUUGGAAUCUCAGUGGAAGCUGGUUAGGAAGAAAAAGAAAAAUACCAUUAGCAUAACAGCCUUCUGAAAUCUGCUUUGGAAGGAAAGAAAAUCAAUGAUGUGCUAUUAAAGAAUUCUGAGGAUGGAGAAGUUGCAUCUGCCUGUAAUAGGGAAGGAUUCCUGGAGAAGAUUAUAAUCUCCAUGAGGGGAGAAACCUUGUCUACAUGGUAAUGGUUGAAUUCCCAGCACCUAGCAUACUGUCAGUCUCAUGGGACAUGAAUGGAUUGGUAAGAAAUACUAUGUUGCUGUUAAAAUAAACUAAGGUAGAAUACCCCCUUCCCCUAACUUCCCUUACCCUUUCCUACUUUUUCUUGUUUCUUUUUUUUUAAACAUUUAUUUUUU